GCUAGCUACAGGCUUAACACAUGCAAGUCGAGGGGCAGCAUGGUCUUAGCUUGCUAAGGCCGAUGGCGACCGGCGCACGGGUGAGUAACACGUAUCCAACCUGCCGUCUACUCUUGGACAGCCUUCUGAAAGGAAGAUUAAUACAAGAUGGCAUCAUGAGUCCGCAUGUUCACAUGAUUAAAGGUAUUCCGGUAGACGAUGGGGAUGCGUUCCAUUAGAUAGUAGGCGGGGUAACGGCCCACCUAGUCUUCGAUGGAUAGGGGUUCUGAGAGGAAGGUCCCCCACAUUGGAACUGAGACACGGUCCAAACUCCUACGGGAGGCAGCAGUGAGGAAUUUUGGUCAAUGGGCGAGAGCCUGAACCAGCCAAGUAGCGUGAAGGAUGACUGCCCUAUGGGUUGUAAACUUCUUUUAUAAAGGAAUAAAGUCGGGUAUGGAUACCCGUUUGCAUGUACUUUAUGAAUAAGGAUCGGCUAACUCCGUGCCAGCAGCCGCGGUAAUACGGAGGAUCCGAGCGUUAUCCGGAUUUAUUGGGUUUAAAGGGAGCGUAGAUGGAUGUUUAAGUCAGUUGUGAAAGUUUGCGGCUCAACCGUAAAAUUGCAGUUGAUACUGGAUAUCUUGAGUGCAGUUGAGGCAGGCGGAAUUCGUGGUGUAGCGGUGAAAUGCUUAGAUAUCACGAAGAACUCCGAUUGCGAAGGCAGCCUGCUAAGCUGCAACUGACAUUGAGGCUCGAAAGUGUGGGUAUCAAACAGGAUUAGAUACCCUGGUAGUCCACACGGUAAACGAUGAAUACUCACUGUUUGCGAUAUACUGCAAGCGGCCAAGCGAAAGCGUUAAGUACUCCACCUGGGGAGUACGCCGGCAACGGUGAAACUCAAAGGAAUUGACGGGGGCCCGCACAAGCGGAGGAACAUGUGGUUUAAUUCGAUGAUACGCGAGGAACCUUACCCGGGCUUAAAUUGCAGAUGAAUUACGGUGAAAGCCGUAAGCCGCAAGGCAUCUGUGAAGGUGCUGCAUGGUUGUCGUCAGCUCGUGCCGUGAGGUGUCGGCUUAAGUGUCAUAACGAGCGCAACCCUUGUUGUCAGUUACUAACAGGUUCCGCUGAGGACUCUGACAAGACUGCCAUCGUAAGAUGUGAGGAAGGUGGGGAUGACGUCAAAUCAGCACGGCCCUUACGUCCGGGGCUACACACGUGUUACAAUGGGGGGUACAGAGGGCCGCUACCACGCGAGUGGAUGCCAAUCCCCAAAACCUCUCUCAGUUCGGACUGGAGUCUGCAACCCGACUCCACGAAGCUGGAUUCGCUAGUAAUCGCGCAUCAGCCACGGCGCGGUGAAUACGUUCCCGGGCCUUGUACACACCGCCCGUCAAGCCAUGGGAGCCGGGGGUACCUGAAGUGCGUAACCGCGAGGAGCGCCCUAGGGUAAAACUGGUGACUGGGGC
RNAcentral lists this ribosomal RNA (1442 nucleotides) under uncultured organism. RNAcentral's name for it is "SSU rRNA". It matches the Rfam family "Bacterial small subunit ribosomal RNA". The record is from RNAcentral.